Molecule: ribosomal RNA, 407 nt
Filed under: uncultured bacterium
Lineage: Bacteria
Description: partial 16S ribosomal RNA
Rfam family: Bacterial small subunit ribosomal RNA
Source: RNAcentral
UUGGGAAUUUUGCACAAUGGACGAAAGUCUGAUGCAGCAACGCCGCGUGAAGGAUGAAGAUCUUCGGAUUGUAAACUUCUUUUAUAGGGGAGUAACUUUUUGAACGUACCCUAUGAAUAAGCACCGGCUAACUCCGUGCCAGCAGCCGCGGUAAUACGGAGGGUGCAAACGUUGUCCGGAAUUACUGGGCGUAAAGCGCAUGUAGGUGGUUUAGUAAGUGAACGAUUAAAUACCAACGCUUAACGUUGGAACUGUUGUUCAUACUGCUUGACUAGAGGAAGACAGGGGCAGAUGGAACUUUAAGUGUAGGAGUGAUAUCCGUAGAUAUUUAAAGGAACACCAAUGGCGAAGGCAGUCUGCUGGGUCUUUUCUGACACUGAGAUGCGAAAGUGUGGGGAGCAAACGGG